UACGGAGGGAGCUAGCGUUGUUCGGAAUUACUGGGCGUAAAGCGCGCGCAGGCGGCGGUGUUGGCCCGGCGUGAAAGCCCCCGGCUCAACCGGGGAGAGUCGUCGGGGACCGCACCGCUUGAGGGCGGUAGGGGCUGGUGGAAUGCCUGGUGUAGUGGUGAAAUGCGUAGAGAUCAGGCAGAACACCUGGGGCGAAGGCGGCCAGCUGG
RNAcentral lists this ribosomal RNA (209 nucleotides) under uncultured bacterium. RNAcentral describes it as "partial 16S ribosomal RNA". It matches the Rfam family "Bacterial small subunit ribosomal RNA", at positions 524 to 732 of the family's 1533-position model. The record is from RNAcentral.